Molecule: ribosomal RNA, 468 nt
Filed under: uncultured bacterium
Lineage: Bacteria
Description: partial 16S ribosomal RNA
Rfam family: Bacterial small subunit ribosomal RNA
Source: RNAcentral
GACGAACGCUGGCGGCGUGCUUAACACAUGCAAGUCGAACGGAAAGGCCCUGCUUUUGUGGGGUGCUCGAGUGGCGAACGGGUGAGUAACACGUGAGUAACCUGCCCUUGACUUUAGGAUAACUUCAGGAAACUGGGGCUAAUACCGGAUAGGAGCUCCUGCUGCAUGGUGGGGGUUGGAAAGUUUCGGCGGUUGGGGAUGGACUCGCGGCUUAUCAGCUUGUUGGUGGGGUAGUGGCUUACCAAGGCUUUGACGGGUAGCCGGCCUGAGAGGGUGACCGGCCACAUUGGGACUGAGAUACGGCCCAGACUCCUACGGGAGGCAGCAGUGGGGAAUAUUGCACAAUGGGCGGAAGCCUGAUGCAGCAACGCCGCGUGCGGGAUGACGGCCUUCGGGUUGUAAACCGCUUUCGCCUGUGACGAAGCGUGAGUGACGGUAAUGGGUAAAGAAGCACCAGCUAACUACGUG